CCUACGGGCGGCUGCAGUGGGGAAUAUUGGGCAAUGGGCGCAAGCCUGACCCAGCAACGCCGCGUGAAGGAAGAAGGCUUUCGGGUUGUAAACUUCUUUUCUCAGGGACGAAGAAAGUGACGGUACCUGAGGAAUAAGCCACGGCUAACUACGUGCCAGCAGCCGCGGUAAUACGUAGGUGGCAAGCGUUAUCCGGAUUUAUUGGGUGUAAAGGGCGUGUAGGCGGGAGCGCAAGUCAGAUGUGAAAACUCAGGGCUCAACCCUGAGCCUGCAUUUGAAACUGUGUUUCUUGAGUACUGGAGAGGCAGACGGAAGUCCUAGUGUAGCGGUGAAAUGCGUAGAUAUUAGGAGGAACACCAGUGGCGAAGGCGGUCUGCUGGACAGCAACUGACGCUGAGGCGCGAAAGCGUGGGGAGCAAACAGGAUUAGAUACCCCUGUAGUC
This 443-nucleotide ribosomal RNA is filed under the name uncultured bacterium. RNAcentral's name for it is "partial 16S ribosomal RNA". It matches the Rfam family "Bacterial small subunit ribosomal RNA", at positions 338 to 795 of the family's 1533-position model. The record is from RNAcentral.